Molecule: ribosomal RNA, 497 nt
Filed under: uncultured bacterium
Lineage: Bacteria
Description: partial 16S ribosomal RNA
Rfam family: Bacterial small subunit ribosomal RNA
Source: RNAcentral
GAUGAACGCUGGCGGCGUGCCUAAUACAUGCAAGUCGAGCGAACAGAUGAGGAGCUUGCUCCUCUGACGUUAGCGGCGGACGGGUGAGUAACACGUGGAUAACCUACCUAUAAGACUGGGAUAACUUCGGGAAACCGGAGCUAAUACCGGAUAAUAUAUUGAACCGCAUGGUUCAAUAGUGAAAGACGGUUUUGCUGUCACUUAUAGAUGGAUCCGCGCCGCAUUAUCUAGUUGGUAAGGUAACGGCUUACCAAGGCAACGAUGCGUAGCCGACCUGAGAGGGUGAUCGGCCACACUGGAACUGAGACACGGUCCAGACUCCUACGGGAGGCAGCAGUAGGGAAUCUUCCGCAAUGGGCGAAAGCCUGACGGAGCAACGCCGCGUGAGUGAUGAAGGUCUUCGGAUCGUAAAACUCUGUUAUUAGGGAAGAACAAAUGUGUAAGUAACUAUGCACGUCGUGACGGUACCUAAUCAGAAAGCCACGGCUAACUACGUG